Poecile atricapillus (Black-capped chickadee) is the source of this 1130-nucleotide long non-coding RNA. RefSeq lists it as uncharacterized. The record is from RefSeq and is a predicted model, not a curated record. The transcript is spliced from 4 exons. Lineage: Eukaryota; Metazoa; Chordata; Aves; Passeriformes; Paridae.
GCUCCCUCAAACCUACCCUAGGACAUCCCUCGCACCCUGGUGUGCCCAGAGCACUGUCUGCAGAGUCAGCAGGUCUCCUGAGGGAAGGGUAGUUGCCCUGAGGGACUGGUAAAUACAAGUUUUUUGUGUUAGCCUUCUGCUUAGAGCAAAAUGGCUUAAAUUCUUCCCACAACUAUUUUGCUGGGGAAACAGCAAUGUCAUGGAGGGUACACUGUCAGCCAAACCUUACUCUCCUAAUCUGAAGAUAAUUCCCAACCUGGAUUCUCUUUGUCAGAGGGUGAAUGGUUACAGGAAAUGCCAGGAUGAUCCAGAACUGAUGUAAUGAGUUUGAUGAUUGGGAAACUCAAAUCAAUUUCAUUUACUGAUCCCCAGCAGAAAUCAGAAGAGAUCAUGGCUUCCAGGUUAAAGACCUUUGCUCAACUUUCUGCUGUUCUGAGUUAAUCUUUCUCUACCCAGCCAUCGGAGUGACCGUCGCAGGAAUUUCCCAAUACUUUGGUAUUUCAUUUCAGAGAACUGGACCCCAACCAGUCUGCAGCAGUACUGCAUGUUGCAAUGCAGUUCCAGACUUUCCCCAGGCUCCCUGGGGAGUGACCAGUGUUUCACCUACAGUUGCAGAGCCCCAUUUUGAGGGAAACUGCUUUCCACACACCCCACCCCCCCAGAAACACAACCCACAAAUACCAAGAUCCCAUAAAGGGAGAGGGAAAGGUGUCCACUGGAAGCAGAGGCUUGCAGCAGCUGCCCACUGCUGGGAACUCAGAAAAGAAACCAGGACUCCAAAGGUUCGAGUACAGACAGUCAGCAAAAUGUCCUGCAAGAGAAUCCUGGUUCUGCCAAGCCCUACCAACACACCAGAGGAUCCUUUGGCUGUUGUGUCCGAUGGUCUUUGAAACCCCCUCUGCUGAAGUCUGCAGUGAUCACUCCUUCCAUGGGCUAAGGACCUCUACUCCCAGAGCUGUGGAGUGUGACAAUGGUGUUUGUGUGCAGUCUAUCAAACGCCAUUAUCACACUAAAUAGUUCCUGGCAGACAAGGCAGCAGGUCAGAAAGGUUUGGGACCUCUGGCAAUACAUCUUCCCACUGUACUGAGGAAUAAACAACUGUGGUACGUGCACAGCAGGAUGACUCUGCU